UACACAUUUUGUUUCUGGUAAACUGGGGGCACCAAAUAUUCUGGUCAAAGGGAUCGUUCUACUCACUGAUUCCAAGUCUUUCAAGUCUGGAUGAAUUUGUCCCAAAUACCUCUGCUGCAAUUGGGCAAAAAGGCCAAUUCCUUCUAAUCAUUGCAUCAUGUUUGAAAAUGGUUUUUGAGUCAUAUUGCAGCAGGCGUAUAAUUUCUCACAUGGGGCCUGGCCAUAGUUCAAUCAAUAUAUUUGUGUCACACUUGAUGCACAUUAAGUGGAAUUGGUUGUAGUUACGGUUUUCAGAUGAAGGGCUAUUAUUAGCGUCAUUUGAGGCUUGUCAGUCUUAAAGCUGGAGCUCCUUUUCCUUUGUGAAACUUUCUGAACAGGUGAUGCAGUAUUUUAUGAAAUGUUUGAGUAAAUGCAUCCCUCCGGUGUAGAGAUUUAUGAUUACUUGUUAUAAAUAUUUAUUAAAAUUAUAAUAAAAAAUCAUAAUUCCGAAGUAAUAGAUUCUAAUCAUAAAUCCUUCCUUACAAAUAAAGAUCAGAGAUACACUCUAGUGAGGGUUCACAGCACUUAAUAAUUACAAUUAGUUAAUUAUCAUUUAAAAUCAAUAAUUAUUAACCAAAACCUCGCUAAAUGUCACUAUGUUAUUAACCAUUUUCCCAAAUGGUGAGGAUACUAACCUUAUUUUGACAGAUAAUCACUCUUAAACAAAAUACACACAAACGCUCUCUUUAUCUAUGUGAAAAUAUAUUAAACCGAGUCUUUAAGACUAUUACAACCCACUAUCCUGGUCCAACAACUUUCACCUAAUCAAGCAUGCACUAUUGUACAAAGUGGCAAAUUAACAAUCAAAAAUAAAGAUGCAUACUAAGUAUAGAUGAAGAUCAAACCAGCAGUUUAUGGACUGAAUGGGAAUGAGACAACAAUUUGGACUGACCUGGAAAAAUGGAGCAGAAUUAAUAACAGUGAAGCUUUCUUUGGUCCGUUGAUGUGUCUCGAUAGCGGCUGUCGGCUGUUAUACGGUAGAGGCAGGCCAGCUCAAGCAUCUAGUAGCCGGUGCCUUAGCCACUAACAGCUGAUAGCGGGCUAGUCUCGAAACAAAGGGUCACAAAACUCUGAGGUGGGAACCCAGUGGAAAAACACAAAGGCCAUAAAUGGUGGAACAAUGCAGAUGAACUCGAGGCUGGAUGUUCAAGUGGUUGUGAUUUUCUGUCAUUCCAGCAGCUAUCUUAUGGAACAGGGGAAAAAAGGCAGGGUUUGAGCUUAAACGCUGCAAAACAAGUAUUUUAAAGGACCCUAAUGAUCAACAGAGAGUGUCAAACAGCAGCUGCAGACCCUAAUACACUUUUUUAAUGAGUAGAACAGUUUUUAUGAACUAACACUCGUAUAACCAAACAUCUUUGCCUGACACCUCAAAAUCUAACUCAACCAGCACUUCUCAACCACACCAACUGUAACAUUCCUGUAAGGUCUGCAGCCUGUAUUCUGCUUCACUGUGAAAACCCAUUAAUGCUGAUUUACCGCAAACACCACGACCAGUGUUGUGCUUGUUUACUGGCCCUGCUCUUCUCUGGAGAGGUGACACACUUGUUUAUGGAUGGAGUGUGUCACUGAUCAAUCCUUCAUAUCCCAGUGGCCCACGGAAAACUGCCUCCUUUUAAGCUUUUAAGGAAACAGAUACUCGCCAAGGCUUAACUUAGUCCUGAAGAAGUGCAGAUUCCAGGUCAACGUCUAUGGCGAGGGAUGGGUGACCUGUAUGUGUUUCCAGCUCUUUGCUUUGCCUUGUUGCAACCAGAGGGGUUUAAUGUGUCAGAAGCAGCUGAGUUCUGACUGGGUUUGCCUCUGAAGUGUCAGAUGUGAGUUUUGUUUACAAUAAAAAACAUGUUUAAUUACCUCCGUUGAGAAAUAACCCUUCCUUUCUGCAGCUGCGUUUUGUUUUUGACUGUUCAACAAAUAAAGAGGCCUCCAUGUGACAUGUUUUUUUUGGGAGGAAGUGAGUAAUUUUCUGCUCUUUGGGGCUGACUCGGUUAAGAGAAGUUUUCUUUAAAACCAGGGGAAGUAGAUGUGGGGGGUGCGAGCUUGAACUGCUCCAUGCUGACAGGGUGGAGUAAACACAGCGGUUUUUGAUUUAUCCCUUCCAAUCAUUUUGCUGUGGGUUUACCAGGAACCCCCACACCAUCACCACCACCCUGCACCACAAUGCACUUUCUCUCCCUCUGCACAGUCGCCCUAACAACCGCUUCAGCUCAGCUCUUUCUUCUAAUCGCUGUGGCAACUGUUUCAGACCAGGGUCUCCAUGGCAACACCCUGUCCCAAUUCAUCAAGGACGGAAGAGGGUAUCAUUGGAGCAAACACAAUAACUGAAUGGACAGUUGACAUGCACACCCUCAGAAAUACUCUUGCUUCCUGUACAUUCAUUCUCUCACAUAUAUGACCUUUAGCUUUCUUCCAUAUGUUUGUUAUAAUAGUAAAAAAGGCCUGUUUGUAUAGCUAUGCUUCAGAUAUAUGAAAACCUUAAAAUAAAGAUGGAAGAAAAAAUGAUUAAAGUUUUAGAAUGACUUAGUCAAAGUCUGGACCUAAACUUGACUAACUUGCUUUUGGCCCUAAACAGUAAAUUUGCACCUUUUAAGACAGAACGGAUUUGUCCUUCAGCAAUAGAAGCGCCAGCGUCUCAUAAUAGGUCGGGUUGAAGAGGAUUGGUUUGCGUCCAUGUUUGUUAGAUGGUACCUUAUGUGUGUUAACCCAGAAACAUUCUGGACUACCUAACGAACCAAAAGCUAAUUCUGUAUUCAAAGCAUUUACCCGAUUAUAAAUAACACUAGAAACUGUGAAGCAUGAGCAAACAACAAGUAGUCCAAGAAGCUGAUAUGUCAAAUCUAGAAACUUUCUGUAACAAACCAACAGCUAUACUAGCUGUUAACUCUACUGAACAUUAGCAAUGCAAAUUUGGAAACUUACACUGUGAAAUGGAAAGAUUAUCAGAUUUGCAGUCCACCUUUAUAACAUAAAUAAUCAUUUAACUAAUUAUGAGCUGUGCUACCAAAUUCAUGUUGGAAACCCCCACUGUUUGGGAACAAAACAGUUAACAGUUAAGUCACUCAACUUCAAAGAAACUAACUCCAAUAUGGUAGCUCUUUUGCUAACCCUGAAAUGCAUCGGCCUAGCUGCUAGACAAAAUGCUAGCUUGGCUAAAUAUUUGCACUAAAUGGAACCAAAAGCUGAACUGAUGUUUGGAUAUUUUUGUUCAUGAUAAAAUCAUGAUUGAGACACAGUUUGAAAUGAGAUAGUACCAUCUCCAAGAUGUAUUGUCCAAACACAAGCUGCUAGCUCUGCUGUGUAUUAGCACUCCAUGAUUGGCAGCCCAAUAAACACAACAAAAAGUUUACAUUGAAUCCCAGAAGCCGAACCAGCUGAGCCUAAAACCUUUAUAGUAUCCAUGACAGUAAAGUUGUUUUCCAACUAAACAAAUUAUAAAAUUUUAAUAAUAAUGAUGUACUUGGCUGCUGAAAAAUCUUGAAAUAAUUUCUUACUGGUGUGAGUUAUAAUAAUACCGGGUAGACUUUUCAGUACAUCCGCUGGUCUCUCGGCCUCAGUGUUCUGUUGACCAGAUGUGUCGGGGUUUUGGUUUCUGUGUGUGUGUUUGUGUUUUUGUCUGCACUUUGUUUUCAGUUUCCAGAUGGUGCUGGAGUUUCUCAGGUGUGCUGGGUGACAGGUGCGACUGAUCUGCUGAUUGCAUUGGAGGAGUACUUAAGCAGGAGGCUGCCAGCACUUCGAUGCCAGAGUGUUUGUCUUCAGUGGUAACAAGCUCAGCCACCUCUAAGCUAUGCUUUGUUUCUGGUCUCUAAGCUAAUGUUGUUUAUGUUCCUUCACAGGCAGAAACUGAACCUUCUGAUCAUUCUUCGUUGAACAUUGACUUCGGUCCCAGAAGUUUCUGGAUGAUCGAGAUGACCUAUGUUUGUUGGAUUUCGUUUCCAAGGAUCAAGCUGGCAGCUUCUUGUUGUCCUACGUCUCCUGAACCAAGGCAGACGCGUACCCUGUCCACCCUCCAACGCAAGUACCUGAACAUUGAAUUAACUCCUGAACUCGCCAGUACUCACUCUUUAGGUCAAGCAAAACCAUCUGGAUUACUCCGGUUCGCACACCUGGGUCCCAACACCCUCUACCCCUGGCGACCUGAUGGCAAUUGUUUAUUGGCGAAUUUACCCGUUCAUGUCCCAGACUCACUGGCUGUAAAUAAACACCUUUCACUUA
Long non-coding RNA from Girardinichthys multiradiatus, 4245 nucleotides. RefSeq lists it as uncharacterized. The transcript has 2 exons. The record is from RefSeq and is a predicted model, not a curated record. Lineage: Eukaryota; Metazoa; Chordata; Actinopteri; Cyprinodontiformes; Goodeidae.